This 390-nucleotide ribosomal RNA is filed under the name uncultured Caldilinea sp. RNAcentral's name for it is "bacterial SSU rRNA". It matches the Rfam family "Bacterial small subunit ribosomal RNA", at positions 28 to 412 of the family's 1533-position model. Lineage: Bacteria; Bacillati; Chloroflexota; Caldilineae; Caldilineales; Caldilineaceae. The record is from RNAcentral.
GAUGAACGCUGGCGGUCGUGCCUAACACAUGCAAGUCGAACGUGAGAGGGUAGCAAUAUCCUUGAAAGUGGCGCACGGGUGAGUAAGACGUAGGUGACCUGCCCUGGAGUGGGGGAUAACAGCUGGAAACGGCUGCUAAUACCGCAUAAUACCGAGACAUUGGGAAGUGACUUGGUAAAAACUCUGGUGCUUCAGGAGGGGCCUGCGGCCGAUUAGCUAGUUGGCGGGGUAAGAGCCCACCAAGGCGACGAUCGGUAGCUGGUCUGAGAGGUACGAUCAGCCACACGGGGAACUGAGACACGGUCCCGACUCCUACGGGGGGGCAGCAGUGAGGAAUAUUGGGCAAUGGGGCGGAAGCCUGGACCCCAGCAACGCCGCGUGGAGGAAGAC